AAAUUGUUAAAUUGAUCAAGUGUUUGGAACAAAUGACUGGCAAGAAUCCAGAUGUUUCAGAGGCGGUCACCAGUGACCUUCUGCAGGUACCACCAACUUCCUUGAGGGAAAGAGAGUUACAAUCUCAGGUCGUUCAUCUGCAGCAGAGAAUUGAUCAUCUUGUUGAGGAAUUAGAGAAGCAAAAGUUGAAAAAUGCGGAGUUUGAAAAACACAUGAUUUCUAUGGCAAAUAAAGAGAAAACAUAAAAGAAAAGCACGUAAAGCGCAAUGGUUAGAUCAUCAUGAAUCCUGAUGCCUUCGCUUCUUGAUUAUUCUUUAGCAAUUCAUGUGUGGCUGUCUCUGUCUGGAUGAUAUGAGCCAAUCGUUAUUGUAUUUGUAGUGUACUAUAAAGUGUGAUGUCAAAAGGCAGACACCGAAAAUUUUGUGAUGUUCUUUAAUGUAU
Molecule: unclassified non-coding RNA, 441 nt
Filed under: Hevea brasiliensis (rubber tree)
Lineage: Eukaryota; Viridiplantae; Streptophyta; Magnoliopsida; Malpighiales; Euphorbiaceae
Source: RNAcentral